CCUACGUGUGGCAGCAGUGAGGAAUAUUGGUCAAUGGGCGCGAGCCUGAACCAGCCAAGUCGCGUGAGGGAAGACGGCCCUACGGGUUGUAAACCUCUUUUGCCGGGGGGCAACGGGCGCCACGUGUGGCGCCACUGAGAGUAGCCGGAGAAAAAGCAUCGGCUAACUCCGUGCCAGCAGCCGCGGUAAUCCGGAGGAUGCGCGCGUUAUCCGGAUUUAUUGGGUUUAAAGGGUGCGUAGGCGGAGCGUUAAGUCAGUGGUCACAUUGAGGGGCUCAACCCCUUCCCGCCAUUGAAACUGGCGCUCUUGAGUGGAAGAGAAGUAUGCGGAAUGCGUGGUGUAGCGGUGAAAUGCAUAGAUAGCACGCAGAACCCCGAUUGCGAAGGCAGCAUGCCGGCUUCCUACUGACGCUGAAGCACGAAAGCGUGGGGAUCGAACAGGAUUAGAGACCCGAGUAGUC
Molecule: ribosomal RNA, 460 nt
Filed under: uncultured bacterium
Lineage: Bacteria
Description: partial 16S ribosomal RNA
Rfam family: Bacterial small subunit ribosomal RNA
Source: RNAcentral